UUCGAGCGGACCGAAGGGAGCUUGCUCCUUUAGGUUAGCGGCGGACGGGUGAGUAACACGUGGGCAACCUGCCCUGCAGACUGGGAUAACUUCGGGAAACCGGAGCUAAUACCGGAUAACACCGAAAACCGCAUGGUUUUCGGUUGAAAGGCGGCUUUAGCUGUCACUGCAGGAUGGGCCCGCGGCGCAUUAGCUAGUUGGUGAGGUAAUGGCUCACCAAGGCGACGAUCCGUAACUGGUCUGAGAGGAUGAUCAGUCACACUGGAACUGAGACACGGUCCAGACUCCUACGGGAGGCAGCAGUGGGGAAUAUUGGACAAUGGGCGAAAGCCUGAUCCAGCCAUGCCGCGUGUGCGAAGAAGGUCUUCGGAUUGUAAAGCACUUUAAGUUGGGAGGAAGGGCAGUAAAUUAAUACUUUGCUGUUUUGACGUUACCGACAGAAUAAGCACCGGCUAACUCUGUGCCAGCAGCCGCGGUAAU
This 480-nucleotide ribosomal RNA is filed under the name uncultured bacterium. RNAcentral's name for it is "bacterial SSU rRNA". It matches the Rfam family "Bacterial small subunit ribosomal RNA", at positions 61 to 524 of the family's 1533-position model. The record is from RNAcentral.